Mercenaria mercenaria is the source of this 354-nucleotide long non-coding RNA. RefSeq lists it as uncharacterized. The transcript has 3 exons. The record is from RefSeq and is a predicted model, not a curated record. Lineage: Eukaryota; Metazoa; Mollusca; Bivalvia; Venerida; Veneridae.
GAGGUAUUUUAGUCAGAAUUUGGCGAGGUAGUUGUUCUCGUAGUAGGAUUUCAUUUUUAGUGUUUAUUUUAAAGGCAGGAUUUGAUCAGUGGUAUCCUUGACAACGAACCUGGCUAGCAGCACUUUUGGAUAGGGUAUCGGCAGGAUAGCUUAAGACGACAAAAUCUGCAGUAACUAGGACUCACGCACAGAUCACUGAGUGAGUGGAGGGAUGUAGAAAAGAGCAGGACAUUUGCAUGUUAACCUAAUUCUAUAAAUUGGGUGUCAUCAUCGUCAUCUCUUUUGCUUGUAACUGUCACGUGUCUUAAUAAAGUUGAAGAACUAUUGUACCCAGCCUUGGAUGUUUAUUAAUAA